AACGAACGCUGGCGGCAUGCCUAACACAUGCCAGUCGAACGAUACCUUCGGGUCUAGUGGCGCACGGGUGCGUAACGCGUGGGAACCUGCCUUUAGGUUCGGAAUAACUCAGAGAAAUUUGAGCUAAUACCGGAUGAUGUCUUCGGACCAAAGAUUUAUCGCCUUUAGAUGGGCCCGCGUUGGAUUAGCUAGUUGGUGGGGUAAAGGCCUACCAAGGCGACGAUCCAUAGCUGGUCUGAGAGGAUGAUCAGCCACACUGGGACUGAGACACGGCCCAGACUCCUACGGGAGGCAGCAGUGGGGAAUAUUGGACAAUGGGCGAAAGCCUGAUCCAGCAAUGCCGCGUGAGUGAUGAAGGCCUUAGGGUUGUAAAGCUCUUUUACCCGAGAUGAUAAUGACAGUAUCGGGAGAAUAAGCUCCGGCUAACUCCGUG
Molecule: ribosomal RNA, 433 nt
Filed under: uncultured bacterium
Lineage: Bacteria
Description: partial 16S ribosomal RNA
Rfam family: Bacterial small subunit ribosomal RNA
Source: RNAcentral